This is a long non-coding RNA of Triticum aestivum (bread wheat), 396 nucleotides long. RefSeq lists it as uncharacterized. The record is from RefSeq and is a predicted model, not a curated record. The transcript is spliced from 3 exons. NCBI's taxonomy places the organism in Eukaryota, Viridiplantae, Streptophyta, Magnoliopsida, Poales, Poaceae.
GAGUAUUUCAAAAAAUUAAAGGUAAGUUUGAUUGUUAACACGGUACAUACAUACGAUAUUAUGUGAUGAUUGUGUUUUAUGGUCCUUGUGAUGCAGACUUACAUUCCUCUAAACAAGCAAAAUAAUCACUGGAUUACUGUCGUCAUGCAUAGCGGAAAAAGAGAGUUUCAGGUUCUUGACUCGUUGAUGACCGGAAAACUUGACACUGUUACUAGAGAACUCGUUGAGGACCUGAGAAAACAACUAGCAGAAGAUAUCCAAGAAGCAAAUGCAACCGGAAUUGUGAAUUAUCCGGAUGUUUCCAAGUGGCCUAUUCAAACGUAUGACAUGCCAAAACAACAUGAUGGGUACGCAAGUCAUGUUUGGACUACGAUGUACAAUGAACGCUGUGCUAAC